CCUGAAGCAACUGCUUGCCAUAUUUUGUUGUUCCGUUUGCAACUCAAAUGAAUUGACGGAUUCUCCUCCUUUGAAUUGACGGAAAUGUCGGUACGUGUUAAAAAGUGACCGUACCUUACUAAUAGGGAUCGGCUAACUCCGUGCCGGCAGCCGCGGUAAUACGGAGGAUCCGAGCGUUAUCCGGAUUCAUUGGGUUUAAAGGGUCCGUAGGCGGAUCUUUAAGUCAUUGGUGAAAUCCCACAGCUCAACUGUGGAACUGCCGUUGAUACUGGGGGACUAGAGUUCUCAUGGAGUAGGUGGAAUGUGUCGAGUAGCGGUGAAAUGCAUAGAUAUCACGCAGAACACCGAUUGCGAACGCAGCCUACUAUGCUGAAACUGACGCUGAGGGACGAAAGCGAGAGGAGCGAACAGGAUUAGAUACCCUGGUAGUCCACGCCGUAAACGAUGAAUACUCUCUGUUGGCGAUAUACUGUCAGCGGCCAAGCGAACGUAUUGUGUGAUCCCCCUGGGGAGUACCACUGCAACGAAGAAACUCAAAUGAUUUGACGG
This 549-nucleotide ribosomal RNA is filed under the name uncultured Bacteroidota bacterium. Its description in RNAcentral is "bacterial SSU rRNA". It matches the Rfam family "Bacterial small subunit ribosomal RNA", at positions 382 to 916 of the family's 1533-position model. Lineage: Bacteria; Pseudomonadati; Bacteroidota. The record is from RNAcentral.